AUUGAACGCUGGCGGCAGGCCUAACACAUGCAAGUCGAGCGGAUGAAGGGAGCUUGCUCCUGGAUUCAGCGGCGGACGGGUGAGUAAUGCCUAGGAAUCUGCCUCGUAGUGGGGGAUAACGUCCGGAAACGGGCGCUAAUACCGCAUACGUCCUGAGGGAGAAAGUGGGGGAUCUUCGGACCUCACGCUAUCAGAUGAGCCUAGGUCGGAUUAGCUAGUUGGUGGGGUAAAGGCCUACCAAGGCGACGAUCCGUAACUGGUCUGAGAGGAUGAUCAGUCACACUGGAACUGAGACACGGUCCAGACUCCUACGGGAGGCAGCAGUGGGGAAUAUUGGACAAUGGGCGAAAGCCUGAUCCAGCCAUGCCGCGUGUGUGAAGAAGGUCUUCGGAUUGUAAAGCACUUUAAGUUGGGAGGAAGGGCAGUAAGUUAAUACCUUGCUGUUUUGACGUUACCAACAGAAUAAGCACCGGCUAACUUCGUG
This 484-nucleotide ribosomal RNA is filed under the name uncultured bacterium. RNAcentral's name for it is "partial 16S ribosomal RNA". It matches the Rfam family "Bacterial small subunit ribosomal RNA", at positions 30 to 507 of the family's 1533-position model. The record is from RNAcentral.